CUAGAUGGUCAGACAAUGACUUUGUGAAGAGGCUGGCAGGCUUUGGCCUCCACUUUUGGAAAUAAACAAUUGUUGGGAAACAGUGAAGCAUCCAGCCCUCCUGCUGUGCUGCCUCAGGGCCCUUUGUGGCUGUGUGUGCUUGUCUGGCCUGUGCUUGUUGGAGAGGUGCCAUGCUCACGUCUGCCCUAAUUGAUAACAAACCGCAACAUAACGAGAGGUCCUUUAUGUUAUUCCACACAAGGGUGAAAAGGUGGAGGGGCUACAAGCUCAAGCCCUAUAUCCUUGGAGAGCCAAAAAAGACAACCACUUAAAUUUUAACAAAAAUGAUGUCAUCACCGUCCUGGAACAGCAAGACAUGUGGUGGUUUGGAGAAGUUCAAGGUCAGAAGGGUUGGUUCCCCAAGUCUUACGUGAAACUCAUUUCAGGGCCCAUAAGGAAGUCUACAAGCAUGGAUUCUGGUUCUUCAGAGAGUCCUGCUAGUCUAAAGCGAGUAGCCUCUCCAGCAGCCAAGCCGGUCGUUUCGGGAGAAGAAUUUAUUGCCAUGUACACUUACGAGAGUUCUGAGCAAGGAGAUUUAACCUUUCAGCAAGGGGAUGUGAUUUUGGUUACCAAGAAAGAUGGUGACUGGUGGACAGGAACAGUGGGCGACAAGGCCGGAGUCUUCCCUUCUAACUAUGUGAGGCUUAAAGAUUCAGAGGGCUCUGGAACUGCUGGGAAAACAGGGAGUUUAGGAAAAAAACCUGGUCCCUCCUAUAACAUGAAAUAAAAAGAAAGAAAUUUGCCCUGCCAUGAUUUGCACCUGAUA
RNAcentral lists this small RNA (805 nucleotides) under Pan troglodytes (chimpanzee). Its description in RNAcentral is "retained intron". The record is from RNAcentral. Lineage: Eukaryota; Metazoa; Chordata; Mammalia; Primates; Hominidae.